RNAcentral lists this ribosomal RNA (169 nucleotides) under Hydropus sp. RNAcentral describes it as "partial large subunit ribosomal RNA". Lineage: Eukaryota; Fungi; Basidiomycota; Agaricomycetes; Agaricales; Mycenaceae. The record is from RNAcentral.
CAGCAUCAGUUUUCCCCGGGGGAUAAAGUUCGAGGGAAUGUGGCAUCUUCGGAUGUGUUAUAGCCUUCGUUCGUAUACAAGCGGUUGGGACUGAGGAACUCAGCACGCCGAAAGGCCGGGUUUUUAACCACGUACGUGCUUAGGAUGCUGGCAUAAUGGCUUUAAUCGA